CUGGGGCUGGGACCAGGCAGGGUGGUGGGCCCACGGAUGGGUUGAUAGGACUGGGGCUGGGACCAGGCAGGGUGGUGGGCCCACGGAUGGGUCGAUAGGGCUGGGCCUGUCAGACUGGCAUCAUUCAGACUGCAGAUCACUAUAUCCCUGCCUUUCAGCGUCUCCCAUUAGAUCUCUGGCCCAGCCGCCAUUAUCAAUCCCCAAACAUUUACAAAUCCGUGUAAACUGCAUCCCUGCGCUGGGCGCCGGGUGGCAACAUGCAUGGGAGCGCAUAGACUGGCUUCAUUAGUGGGUCUGUGGGCUGGAGGGGCAUAGGAGGAGCAGGGGCUGGGCUUUGUAUGACUGGCAGAGAGUGGAGCAGCACCAGUGCACAGCAGCACCAGUGCACACAUGUAGAUAUGUACAGGGCUUAAAUACCGAGUUAUGCUGACCUGCAGGGGGAGCAGAUGGCGAGGGAACCUGGCCUGUAUAGAGCCAGCUGUGUGGUGGGCUGAGGAGAGGAGCCAGGCUGGGCGGUGGGUUUGUUUGUCUUAAUGUGAAGGGCUAACCCACUGAGGUAGAAUACUAAAUGAGAUUAAUGUAGUGUAAGCACAUGAUCUAGCUGGGUAGAAAUGCCAACACAUGGCUGGGUUCAGGGAAACAGCUCAACAACUGAAAACGAGUGUGUGUGUGUGUGUGUGUGUGUGUGUGUGUGUGUGUGUGUGUGUGUGUGUGUGUGUGUGUGUGUGUGUGUGUGUGUGUGUGUGUGUGUGUGUGUGUGUGUGUGUGUGUGUGUUUGAGUGCGUGUGUCUGUGCGUGUGUGCUUGAGUGCGUGGGUGUUUGUUUCUGUACUUGUAUUACAGUAGUAACGAGUGUUGCCAUGAAUGAGUAAUGUAGUGGGCUGGGGAGAGGGGGGGUUAUAGCAUUAGCACAGUGAAGACAUUCUUUACAUAUUCCAUACUAUAGUAGACAACCCCUCCUCCUCCUCCCAUCUCCAUUGUAGCCCUGAGAGGACUGUUGGUUGAGAAUAUGGGGCCUUGACAAAGUUUUGACCCCCUGUUGCCCCCUCUCCUCUCUGUCACCCCGCUAGUUGCGUCCCCUAAGUGCAGUGUGUGAUUGAGUCCUGCUCUGCCUGCCCAGCCAGCCGUGCUCCAGCUCCCUCUCUUACACUGUUUCACUAAACAUGCUUGAUUAGGCAAAGUACAUCCCAUCCCCUAAUGGUGUGAUGAGCCCCUGAGAAGAUUACUACAGACACAUCGAGAGGGAGACGAGCACCCACUCUCAUCUCCAGAAAUCACCCCUGCAUACACACACACACACACACACACUCACUCGCACACGUGCACACACACACACACACACACACACAGCACCCUAACCAAAUUCAGGAUGUAAUUUAAUUACGAUCCGCUGUCAUCACCAGGCCAGGGAGGAGGGAGGCUUGUGGCUCAGACCCAGAGAUGUGCUCUUUGGAAGAGCCACAUGAUAAUAUGAUUCUCUUAGUCCCCCAUGACUAUAUAUUAAAGAAUCUAGGGUUCCCCUUUCUAUAGCGCUUCAGGCUUGCACACAGACGGACACACACACACACACACACACACACACACACACACACACACACACACACACACACACACACACACACACAUACGUGUUUCACACACACAAUCAGUCUCUUCUUCUCUACCCCAUGAUGUAUAAUCAUGCUGUGUCCUUCUGCUGUUUAGCUGCUACAAUCAAACAGAGGCAGUUUUUAAAUGUGUCAACACCAGAAUGAGAAAUCUAUGUAAUUUACUGUGAAGUGCUCCAAAAUCUUUGCUCUUUGAAAAUCAGAUUUGAAAUGUUUUAACCAUUUUUUCAUACAUUAGCAAUCCUCUGAUGCAGUAAAUUGUUUUCUUUGGCAGCCAUUUCUUUCUGCUGGGAGAUUUUUGUUUGGUUCUGUUUGAUAUGUAGCUCACACAGUGCCGCCCCCUCCCUCCCCCUCUCCCACAUGACCCGAUCUGUGUGUAUAAAUAUCAUGGACUGUGUGUGUGUGCCUGAGGCCAUGCCAUUGUCUGUUGUUGGCUCGUUUUCCUCGGUAACCCAGUGAUUAGCUAAUGGCCCCCGGCCAGGAACUGCCAUGUCGGGAUGGGACACCCUAGAAAGAGCCAAACCAAAUAAGGAGACAUGUAACCCAGUCUGCUGAGGAAUUAACACAGGCAGCAGACAUUUUACUCAUCCAGCGAAACACAUCGAAGGAUAAGCACAAAAACGUUUGCAUUUUUGUAAAGUUGUAGAGAACAUUCUAUUUAGCCCGCACUGAUCAUUCUUGUCAUGUUUUCAUUAUUUUUAAUUUUUUUUGUCUCUAUGGUAAUAUUUGUUUGGGUUUUUGGGGUUUUGUUGUAUUGGAUUUUGAUUUGCUCUCUGGUGUGUGAGUUUGAUGAUGAUGAUGAUGAUGAAGAAGAUGAUGAUGAUAUUGAUUAGGAGGAAGAUGAUGGUGAUGAUGAUUAGGAGGAAGAUGAUGAUGAAGAUGUGUAUGACGAAGAGGAUGAGGAUAAUGAGGAUUCUGUACUGUGAACAGCAUCUCAGUAUUUGCUCCCACUCUGAUGCCUGAGUCGUGUCUGAGAGGUGGAGAAGAGGAGAGGAGAGGAGAGGAGAGGAGAGGAGAGGAGAGGAGAGGAGAGGAGAGGAGGGA
Molecule: long non-coding RNA, 2650 nt
Organism: Oncorhynchus tshawytscha (Chinook salmon)
Lineage: Eukaryota; Metazoa; Chordata; Actinopteri; Salmoniformes; Salmonidae
Source: Ensembl